Daphnia pulicaria is the source of this 349-nucleotide long non-coding RNA. RefSeq lists it as uncharacterized. The transcript is spliced from 2 exons. The record is from RefSeq and is a predicted model, not a curated record. NCBI's taxonomy places the organism in Eukaryota, Metazoa, Arthropoda, Branchiopoda, Diplostraca, Daphniidae.
GAUAAAACCAUCCCAUUGCAUUGGAAUGCAAUUGAAUGCAUUAUCAAUCGAGUUACGUACCUCUCUCAUGUCUUCUUGUACGCCCAUGUGAAUGUGGGUGUAUUCACGAGGACACCCUUUUUACCCUAUCCUGUCUGGUGUAAUUGAACUCUUCAACGGAUGGAUAGAGCAACUGACGUAGAUGCCUGGCUGUAUUUCCCAGGCAUAAAGCCGGCCAGGAAAGAAAGAAAAAAAAAAGAAAAUGUUGCGACGUGAUAAUAAACACACGGAGCGAGAGGGAAAAUGGCGCCCGCAGUGCUGCGAUAUAUUUUCUAAGGGGGCGAGAGGAGACUACGAGGUUCAUCGGGCG